RNAcentral lists this unclassified non-coding RNA (1025 nucleotides) under Schistocerca americana (American grasshopper). Its description in RNAcentral is "nuclear distribution protein nudE-like 1-A, transcript variant X1". The record is from RNAcentral. Lineage: Eukaryota; Metazoa; Arthropoda; Insecta; Orthoptera; Acrididae.
AGUGUCUUGUUUCGCAUGUCUGAUGCAAUGUGCGAUGCGAUGGAACAGCGAGACGCCAUAGACAAUAGUGAAGACAUCGAUUUUCUUAAAAAUGUUAUACACCAGUUGAGGCAAGAGUUGGAAGAGUCUAGGCAAGAUGUUCAGAGAGUAGAGCACGAUUUUGAAGACUUCCAAGAAAACUCGCGCCAAUUGGAGAAGGAACUGGAGACUGCACUUGACCAGUCGGAGAAAACAAACAGGGAACGAGAAGCACUUUGUAAUAGAUGGCAAAUAGAAAAUGAAAGGCUACGUGAUCGAAUAGAUCAGUUACAGAGGCAAUGUGAUUCCAAGGAUACACAACUCUCAAAAUUGGAAGCACACAAGCAAGAGCUGAUGAAGAGGACAAGAGAACUGGAACAAAGGAAUGAUGAUCUUGAAAGAGCUUUGAGGGCAAUGAGCAUGUCAAAGGGAGAGACUGAACUCAAAUUAAAUGCCCAGAUAGAGAGAGAUGCCCUCUUGGAGUGUGAACACGAAGAACUUCUAGCAAUGGUCCAGAGGUUGAAAGAUGAAAAAAGAGAUCUGACACAUGAACUGAAAGCAAGGGAACGCAUUGGCCCUGUUUUCGACAAUGACAAGUCUGUUUUCCCGGGCUCUCCACUAGAUUCCAAUCGGUUAAAAGUGGAGAUGCAGACACAAACCACUGCAGUUCAAGGUUCCCCACUCAAAAUGGCUCAGACCGUUGGAAAUCAAACAACCGUAACACCACUCGCACCUUCCAAUAGGAUUCUUGGAAUGAACAUGGUCCAUGACCUGCUUCGCAAUAUUGGCCUUGAGAAAUGGUUGUGCUCAGACUGUGACAAGCUCAGAUGUGUGUGUAGCCGACGUACCUCACCAUGCUCACUCCAGCGGCGGUAGUUUAGUCUAUUGAAUCAAAAUUAACAGCUUCUCGCAAUAUUGCCAGAGACAACAUACAUCUCAGUGAUGCAACAAACCGAGAGCCUUACAGAGGGAGGCGCAUAGGACGAACUGCUACACCGGCAUCACCA